AUUGAACGCUGGCGGCAGGCCUAACACAUGCAAGUCGAGCGGAUGAAGGGAGCUUGCUCCUGCAUUCAGCGGCGGACGGGUGAGUAAUGCCUAGGAAUCUGCCUGGUAGUGGGGGGUAACGUCCGGAAACGGGCGCUAAUACCGCAUACGUCCUGAGGGAGAAAGUGGGGGAUCUUCGGACCUCACGCUAUCAGAUGAGCCUAGGUCGGAUUAGCUAGUUGGUGGGGUAAAGGCCUACCAAGGCGACGAUCCGUAACUGGUCUGAGAGGAUGAUCAGUCACACUGGAACUGAGACACGGUCCAGACUCCUACGGGAGGCAGCAGUGGGGAAUAUUGGACAAUGGGCGAAAGCCUGAUCCAGCCAUGCCGCGUGUGUGAAGAAGGUCUUCGGAUUGUAAAGCACUUUAAGUUGGGAGGAAGGGCAGUAAGUUAAUACCUUGCUGUUUUGACGUUACCAACAGAAUAAGCACCGGCUAACUUCGUG
RNAcentral lists this ribosomal RNA (484 nucleotides) under uncultured bacterium. RNAcentral's name for it is "partial 16S ribosomal RNA". It matches the Rfam family "Bacterial small subunit ribosomal RNA", at positions 30 to 507 of the family's 1533-position model. The record is from RNAcentral.